RNAcentral lists this transfer RNA (73 nucleotides) under Anaerolineaceae bacterium. RNAcentral describes it as "tRNA-Glu". It matches the Rfam family "tRNA". Rfam says of the family: Transfer RNA (tRNA) molecules are approximately 80 nucleotides in length. Their secondary structure includes four short double-helical elements and three loops (D, anti-codon, and T loops). Lineage: Bacteria; Bacillati; Chloroflexota; Anaerolineae; Anaerolineales; Anaerolineaceae. RNAcentral also lists the same sequence under 1 other name. The record is from RNAcentral.
GCCCCAUUCGUCUAGAGGCCUAGGACGCAGCCCUCUCAAGGCUGAAACAGGAGUUCGAAUCUCCUAUGGGGUA